UUGGCGGACGGGUGAGAAAUGUAUCGGAACGUGCCCAUGUCGGGGGGGAUAACGUAGCGAAAGCUACGCUAAUACCGCAUACGCCCUGAGGGGGAAAGCGGGGGAUUCUUCGGAACCUCGUGCGAUUGGAGCGGCCGAUGUCGGAUUAGCUAGUUGGUGGGGUAAAGGCCCACCAAGGCGACGAUCCGUAGCGGGUCUGAGAGGAUGAUCCGCCACACUGGGACUGAGACACGGCCCAGACUCCUACGGGAGGCAGCAGUGGGGUAUUUUGGACAAUGGGGGCAACCCUGAUCCAGCCAUGCCGCGUGAGUGAAGAAGGCCUUCGGGUUGUAAAGCUCUUUCGGCCGGGAAGAAAUCGUGGUCUCUAACAUAGGCCAUGGAUGACGGUACCGGACUAAGAAGCACCGGCUAACUACGUGCCAGCAGCCGCGGUAAU
This 436-nucleotide ribosomal RNA is filed under the name uncultured Thauera sp. RNAcentral describes it as "bacterial SSU rRNA". It matches the Rfam family "Bacterial small subunit ribosomal RNA", at positions 95 to 524 of the family's 1533-position model. Lineage: Bacteria; Pseudomonadati; Pseudomonadota; Betaproteobacteria; Rhodocyclales; Zoogloeaceae. The record is from RNAcentral.